CCGCUGCACCGUGAUGCGCACGAGCGCGGCCGGCCGGCGCCCCCAGCGCGCCCACAGUCAGAAGAAACCAACCCUGCCACACUUCGACCUUGGACUUCCAGCCUCGGACGGUGGGGAAAUAAGCCGCCUGGUUAGCCCGAGGAGAGUAAUCCAUCCAAUUCUCAGGACGCCUGUCUCUCUCCCUCUGAACCACUGGGCGCAGCACAUCCUGCUUUCCACGUGGACCUAGAACGUCGUCUUCCUGGAGUACCAACUGCUCUCUACCCCAAAUCCUGUUUAUUUCCAUUGGUGGUACCCCCAAUUUCCCCCUCGACUCUGAAAUUCUGGGGUCCCAAUACAAUGGCAAUGUGAUUCACUUUACGAGGAUUUGGUUUGCAGUAAUGUCCUAUUCACCUUCAUAUCUCUGGCAUUUAGCACUGUGCCAGCACACAGUAGGUGCUUAAUAAAAAGUU
Molecule: long non-coding RNA, 452 nt
Organism: Eptesicus fuscus (big brown bat)
Lineage: Eukaryota; Metazoa; Chordata; Mammalia; Chiroptera; Vespertilionidae
Exons: 3
Source: RefSeq, a predicted model, not a curated record